Long non-coding RNA from Ictalurus punctatus (channel catfish), 697 nucleotides. The record is from Ensembl. NCBI's taxonomy places the organism in Eukaryota, Metazoa, Chordata, Actinopteri, Siluriformes, Ictaluridae.
UACCAUGACACACUAACUCUCCCUUUGGAGGACAGUGAAGAAUCUGGGACAGCAUCCAAAAAACAGAAGGAGUGAUGAUGAUGCAAGUUUAAGACAUCAUUUCACAUCAGAGUGACAGCAACAGAGCAAAGCAUUCUCUGGAGAGCCUGAACAUGCUUUAUUCAGCAUCAGGUCCGAACUCCAUCCCAGACUUUCCAGCCUGCCCUAGCCUGCCUUGCUCACGCCUCCCAGGAUGACCUCACUGACUGGCGGCCAUAUAUAAAGAGGAAGAGGAACAAGAAUGUGUGGGAUGUUGGAUGUGGUUUCAUGUGUUUGGAGAUUGUGUUUGGCUGUAUGCUAUUUUCUGACUGCUGUUUUGGUAUUUGACUUUUGCCUGGUCUUUGACUUUGAGUUUGGUUGUCCCUAAACCUGUUUGUGUAUUCUCUUCACUUUUGUAUAUAUGUUCACUUGGUUCACCGGCAGUAGGGGUGUGGCUCCCAUUUCUUUUGUGUGAGGGUUCCUUUUUUUUCUGUUUCUUGCUUAGGUAGUUAGGGAAGUAUGUGUAUUUUCUUUAUUUUCCUUUUAGGUAAGCUAGCUACCUAAACAAUAGAAUUAUUUUGUUUAUUAUUUUAACCUUGGCCCUCCCUGAAGAUAUGCCUCGUUUGGUUAAUUUGUACAAUUUUAUAUAUAUAUAUUGUCUUACAAUAUACCACAACGC